RNAcentral lists this ribosomal RNA (253 nucleotides) under uncultured bacterium. Its description in RNAcentral is "partial 16S ribosomal RNA". It matches the Rfam family "Bacterial small subunit ribosomal RNA", at positions 524 to 776 of the family's 1533-position model. The record is from RNAcentral.
UACGUAGGGUGCGAGCGUUAAUCGGAAUUACUGGGCGUAAAGCGUGCGCAGGCGGUUUUGUAAGCCAGGUGUGAAAUCCCCGGGCUUAACCUGGGAAUGGCAUUUGGGACUGCAAGGCUGGAGUUUGGCAGAGGAGACUGGAAUUCCUGGUGUAGCAGUGAAAUGCGUAGAUAUCAGGAGGAAUACCGAUGGCGAAGGCAGGUCUCUGGGCCAUAACUGACGCUGAGAAGCGAAAGCAUGGGGAGCGAACAGG